RNAcentral lists this ribosomal RNA (253 nucleotides) under uncultured bacterium. RNAcentral describes it as "partial 16S ribosomal RNA". It matches the Rfam family "Bacterial small subunit ribosomal RNA", at positions 524 to 776 of the family's 1533-position model. The record is from RNAcentral.
UACGUAGGGGGCAAGCGUUGUCCGGAUUUAUUGGGCGUAAAGAGCUCGUAGGCGGCCUGUCGCGUCGACUGUGAAAACCCAGGGCUCAACCCUGGGCCUGCAGUCGAUACGGGCAGGCUAGAGUGCAGUAGGGGAGACUGGAAUUCCUGGUGUAGCGGUGAAAUGCGCAGAUAUCAGGAGGAACACCGGUGGCGAAGGCGGAUCUCUGGGCCAUUACUGACGCUGAGGAGCGAAAGCGUGGGUAGCAAACAGG